ACGAGAACUGCUAUCGAACAGCUUUUAACACCUUUAAACUCAAUUUCCACUAGUUAAAAUUGAUAUGUUAAAAUAUAUAUUUAUAGAAGUGUUACAUAAGAGAUUUACAAAGAUUGAAGUAAGAUUUGAGCUGUUUCUCACUCUAGGUCUCAUAUUUUCUCUCUCCUAGACCCUUUCUCUCUCUAAAAUUGCUGAAAAUGAGCUGCGGGUUUGAUAUAUAUAGACCUGCGACAGCCACAGGUGUAUUAGUAGAGCACCAGCGUGAAAUCAAGACGGUAAGAACAUCAUAGUCCUGGAUGUGAAGAUCCCUACAUAGCUAAAUGCAUCGCAGAAUGUCAACCCUCUUCAGUAUAUCCACAUAAUCUGAAUUUUUGAGGAUCUCGUCGAUCCAAUGUUGCCACCCCUAUAACGACCCCAAAAUCAAAACAAUUUUCACUCCCGAUUUGUUCGUUAAAUAUAACUUUAUUCUAAUUCUCCGCUAAUAAUUAAUAUUAUAAUAGAUGAAACUUGUGCAUUUACAACUGUAUACAACAUUCAAAUCAAUAAAGAUAUUAAAAUUUAGUUAUUAUUUUUUAAAAAGAAAAACUUUUAUCAUAAUUUAAUAACAUCCAUAAAUUCUUAAACAUUUUUCAUCGAUUUUCGUCCCUGAAAUCGCAACCUUUAUAACUAUAAUCCAACAACUAUGUAUUCAAGAUAUACCAUCUCUCAUAAAUUAUUGACACCAUAUCAAUAUACUUUACAAAGUAAAUGUAAAGUUACAUAUCAAAUUCAAAAUGAAUAUCAUUUGUUUCAUGAUUCAAAGUUUUACAUGAUUUAGCUUAUAUACAUCGUAAACCGCAAUCUCAGUUUAGUAUGAAUCCAACUAAAGAAAACAAUUAAAAACUUUUGUUUUAAGCGCGCCCCAAGUCUACACCAUAAUCACGAGAUAAUAACAUUCUUAAUCUGCAAAAUUAUUUACAAGAAUGAGCACGAUAGCCCUGCAAGUUAAGCUAACACAUUUUAUGCUUCACAUACUAUACAUGUCUUGCAUUGCAUUCAUGCGUCAGGUAUUUCAUGUUGUGCAUUUCAUAAAUACAGACCUCAAAUGUUUCAUGUUACGUAAUUUACAUAUGUUCUUCAAUUUACAUACAUCACAUCUAACUAUUUCCACAUAAUACAUGCUUUACACAAACAUAUACUUCAAGUUCACAUAGAACAAUAAUAUUUUAGUUCUUUAUUGCAAAUCAACAGUUUAACACAUCCAUAUAGAAUAUUUUCACGUAACAACAAAAUAUAUACUUACUGAAAGAACUUGCAUGUAUCAUUGUUCACCAUUUUACGCUCAUUGAACAUCCAUUGUAUAACUUUACUUGUUGUUUAAUAUCCUCCGCACAUUACUCUUUGUUGUAUAACCCUUUUGUUGAUCCACAUUAAGCUUCCUUACCACAACUUCUUUUAGUUUUUUUUACUGCAUAUAGGAUACACCUGUUGAGUUGUAAACAUAUUAGAGAAAUGAUCCACAAAAGCAUUUUUAACCUCAUCAUAAUCUUCCAACAUAAUUUCGUCAACACCCUUAUACUUAGAAUCUUGUUUCUAGCUCUAUUAAAGUUCACCAUCUUAUGAAAGUAAGUAGUAUUAUCAUCCCUCAAAUUCAACCGUUGAUUCCUAGAUUUUGCUUAGCAAAAACUUUCUUCAGCUUCCCUCAACUCAAAGCAUAUUUUUAAAUCUUUCAAAGCAUAUUUCACAUUGUUCAAUUUUUUUACAGUAUAUAUAUAUAUGGGGAUUUAAUAUUAUAUGUAUAUACGAUAUAUAAUGUUUAUCAAGGGAAUUAUAUGCUUAUACAUACUAACAUAUAUGUAUUUCAUAGUGUACACACCAUUAUACACCAUUGGUUUGACAGGCUAAAGUGAUGAGUACCUUAUAUCCAUUAUUUGCCUUUCAUACUGGUGCCUAUAUUUUACACACCAAGCUUACAUCAUUUCACACAAAUGUAUGCUUAUUUUAAAACACUAUACUCAACAUAAUGUAAUAUCAUAUUGAUGUAUCUUACACUGACACAAACAGUUUUCAUAUUAUUACUUACUAUACAAUACGUUUAUUUAAUAUAUAUAUAUAUAUAUAGUAAGUAACAUAGUGACUUAUUAUAGUGUUUAUGAAACUUACACAUUAUUUGCCUCAUGAAACUUACCUGAUUUACAAUGGCAUACAAGGAAUUCUCAUAAAUACAUAUAUCAAUAUGAAAUCCUCUCUUCACCAAUUUCCUUAAAAAUCAAACCAGUUCCAUCUAUUUCCCCAUUUUUACAAAAACACUGAAACAUAACAUAGUAAGUUAAAUCAUCUACUUUAAGCCUCUUAUCAUGCAAUUCUUUAAGAACCUCUUUAGCUAACAAUCCCUCAUUUUCUCUACACAAAGCCCCAAUAGAUUUUAAGUUAAAAGAGCAAAUGGGUAUUUGGAAAAUUAGAUUUUAGAGUACCAAAUCUAUCAAUUAAUGAAGUCAGCAACAAACAGUGGCGAAGCCACAUAGAACUUUGUGGGGUCAAUCGACCCCACUGAAAAAAAAUUGCUUUAUAAUAUAAGGUAAAUUUAAAUUUUUUUAAGUAUUAUAUAUAAAUUAACUCUAUUAAAAUUUUAUAAAUUUUCUAUUAUACGGGAUCAAAUUGAAAAUUUAUAAUCACAUAUGACUCAUAUCCUCUCAAUAUAUGUAUCUCUAUAAUAUUUCAAACUAAAUAAUAAUUUAAUUUAUAUUAUUUUUAAAAAUAAUUAAUGAAUUACUUAUUAUGAACAGUUGUGAUUAAAAAAGUCUAUUAUGAGUUAAUAUAGUGUAUAUAUACCAUAUAUUAUUACUUAUUAUAUUUUCAUUGUAAUAUAUAUAUAUAUAUAUAUAUACUCGAAAAUAUAAAGUAUUAAAAAAAAUUGACUCGGGGCAUGCCCCCAACCCCCACCAAAUUAUUUGUAAUUCAGUAAUAAUUUCAAUCUCACUUACAAAAAUUUCUGGCUUGGCCACUGACAACAAACACAUCAAUUGUGAGGUUUAAUCAAUGUGCUCUGUUUCUCCGUACUACAAUACCCAAACUAAUUAAUGAAUGAAAAGAAACAUUAAGUUUAAGAGAGAUGGGGACGAAAUGGAAAUAAAAAAUUUUGAUUAUGGAGGAUUGCAAUAUAUGUUUGAGCAAGAUAACCUCAUAUAGGUAUUUUAUCAAACACAUAUUCUGCAUACUUUAAAAACUCAAAUCUUCUAUGAAUUUAAAGCAUAGACUUCACUCCAUAAUCCAUUUCAUCCUUAUACUUCGAAUCCUUCAUGAUUUCCAAAUUAAUUCGUACUCCCACAACAACAAUUCAUAACAAUAACAAUUAUUCUCUACUUUAGUUUUCAUGAGUUUAUCAAAUAAGUAUAACUUACCUUGCUUGCGUUGGGACUUUGGCUAAAUCCACGCUUCAGUGGCUGAUUUGAACCAUUACUUGAAUGGUAUUUUACUCUAAUCCUUCCUUAAAUUUAGUUGGUAACUGUUGGAAAAUUUGGUGAUUUCUUUACAGAAAUUAAAGAUGUUUGCAAGAAUUAAUAAGGAAGUUGGGCAUGAGACUUGUUUUGGGACGGAUAGGAGAAAACAGGGAAUGGAGUGGCUGUACAUAUUGCAUAAGGCUAAGAAAUCUUACUCACUUUCCACUAAAGUAGAAAAGCUAGGUGUCACACUAGUUGCUAAAUAGCACAACACCUCCUGCUAAAUUAUUGACUCAGCAUUCAUCAUAUACGCAUAAUAUAUAUUAUAUAUCGUAUACAUAUCACUUAUUCCACCC
This 3775-nucleotide long non-coding RNA is filed under the name Panax ginseng (ginseng). RNAcentral's name for it is "long non-coding RNA (PGIN_LNC002016)". The record is from RNAcentral. Lineage: Eukaryota; Viridiplantae; Streptophyta; Magnoliopsida; Apiales; Araliaceae.